AUUGAACGCUGGCGGCAGGCUUAACACAUGCAAGUCGAGCGGUAGCACAGGGGAGCUUGCUCCCUGGGUGACGAGCGGCGGACGGGUGAGUAAUGUCUGGGAACUGCCUGAUGGAGGGGGAUAACUACUGGAAACGGUAGCUAAUACCGCAUAACGUCGCCAGACCAAAGAGGGGGACCUUCGGGCCUCUUGCCAUCAGAUGUGCCCAGAUGGGAUUAGCUAGUAGGUGGGGUAAUGGCUCACCUAGGCGACGAUCCCUAGCUGGUCUGAGAGGAUGACCAGCCACACUGGAACUGAGACACGGUCCAGACUCCUACGGGAGGCAGCAGUGGGGAAUAUUGCACAAUGGGCGCAAGCCUGAUGCAGCCAUGCCGCGUGUGUGAAGAAGGCCUUCGGGUUGUAAAGCACUUUCAGCGAGGAGGAAGGUGGUGAGCUUAAUACGUUCAUCAAUUGACGUUACUCGCAGAAGAAGCACCGGCUAACUCCGUG
RNAcentral lists this ribosomal RNA (489 nucleotides) under uncultured bacterium. RNAcentral's name for it is "partial 16S ribosomal RNA". It matches the Rfam family "Bacterial small subunit ribosomal RNA", at positions 30 to 507 of the family's 1533-position model. The record is from RNAcentral.